This 514-nucleotide ribosomal RNA is filed under the name uncultured bacterium. Its description in RNAcentral is "bacterial SSU rRNA". It matches the Rfam family "Bacterial small subunit ribosomal RNA", at positions 28 to 525 of the family's 1533-position model. The record is from RNAcentral.
GACGAACGCUGGUGGCGUGCCUAAUACAUGCAAGUCGAGCGGACCAAAGGGAGCUUGCUCCUGGAGGUCAGCGGCGAACGGGUGAGUAACACGUGGGCAACCUGCCUGUAAGACUGGGAUAACAUCGAGAAAUCGGUGCUAAUACCGGAUAAUAAAAAGAACUGCAUGGUUCUUUUUUGAAAGAUGGUUUCGGCUAUCACUUACAGAUGGGCCCGCGGCGCAUUAGCUAGUUGGUGAGGUAACGGCUCACCAAGGCAACGAUGCGUAGCCGACCUGAGAGGGUGAUCGGCCACACUGGGACUGAGACACGGCCCAGACUCCUACGGGAGGCAGCAGUAGGGAAUCUUCCGCAAUGGACGAAAGUCUGACGGAGCAACGCCGCGUGAGUGAUGAAGGUUUUCGGAUCGUAAAACUCUGUUGUUAGGGAAGAACAAGUGCCGUUCGAAAGGGCGGCACCUUGACGGUACCUAACGAGAAAGCCACGGCUAACUACGUGCCAGCAGCCGCGGUAAAG